GACAGAGGGUGCAAACGUUGUUCGGAAUUACUGGGCGUAAAGCGCGUGUAGGCGGCAAUACAAGUCGGAUGUGAAAUCCCGCGGCUUAGCCGUGGAAGUGCACCCGAAACUGUAUCGCUAGAGUCCCGGAGAGGAUGGUGGAAUACUUGGUGUAGAGGUGAAAUUCGUAGAUAUCAAGUGGAACACCGGUGGCGAAGGCGGCCAUCUGGACGGUGACUGACGCUGAGACGCGAAAGCGUGGGUAGCAAACAGG
Molecule: ribosomal RNA, 253 nt
Filed under: uncultured bacterium
Lineage: Bacteria
Description: partial 16S ribosomal RNA
Rfam family: Bacterial small subunit ribosomal RNA
Source: RNAcentral